RNAcentral lists this ribosomal RNA (485 nucleotides) under uncultured bacterium. RNAcentral's name for it is "partial 16S ribosomal RNA". It matches the Rfam family "Bacterial small subunit ribosomal RNA", at positions 899 to 1397 of the family's 1533-position model. The record is from RNAcentral.
ACUCAAAUGAAUUGACGGGGACCCGCACAAGCGGUGGAUCAUGUGGUUUAAUAUGACGCUACGCGUAGAACCUUACCAAGGCUUGACAUCCCUAGGAUCUUCUGGAAACAGAGGAGUGCCUUCGGGAGCUAGGUGACAGGUGCUGCAUGGCCGUCGUCAGCUCGUGUCGUGAGAUGUUGGGUUAAGUCCCGCAACGAGCGCAACCCUUAUCGUAUGUUGUAUUUUUCAUGCGAGACUGCCCGGGCCAACCGGGAGGAAGGUGGGGAUGACGUCAGGUCGGCAUGGCCCUUACGCCUUGGGCUACUCACGUGAUACAAUGGCCAGUACAACGCGCAGCAAUACCGCGAGGUGGAGCAAAUCGCAUCAAAACUGGUCUCAGUUCGGAUUGGAGGCUGCAACUCGCCUCCAUGAAGUCGGAAUCGCUAGUAACCGUGGGUCAGCACACCACGGUGAAUACGUUCCCGGGUCUUGUACACACCGCCCGU